AGCAGUCGCCGCGGGAAUACAGAGGAUGCAAGCGUUAUCCGGAAUGAUUGGGCGUAAAGCGUUUGUAGGUGGCUUUUCAAGUCCGCCGUCAAAUCCCAGGGCUCAACCCUGGACAGGCGGUGGAAACUACUAAGCUAGAGUGCGGCAGAGGGGGAUGGAAUUCCGCGUGUAGCAGUGAAAUGCGUAGAUAUGCGGAGGAACACCGAUGGCGAAGGCAAUCCCCUGGGCCUGCACUGACGCUCAUGCACGAAAGCGUGGGGAGCAAACAGGAUUAGAUACCCCUGUAGUCCCUGUCUCUUAUAC
RNAcentral lists this ribosomal RNA (303 nucleotides) under uncultured bacterium. RNAcentral describes it as "partial 16S ribosomal RNA". It matches the Rfam family "Bacterial small subunit ribosomal RNA", at positions 507 to 807 of the family's 1533-position model. The record is from RNAcentral.